Rhinopithecus bieti (black snub-nosed monkey) is the source of this 1767-nucleotide long non-coding RNA. Lineage: Eukaryota; Metazoa; Chordata; Mammalia; Primates; Cercopithecidae. The record is from Ensembl.
GGAGGACCGCUCGCUGGCGGCUGAUCCGGCGUCUCCGUGACAGGCAACCCAGCUCCUCCGCCACCGCCCCACCGCCACCGCCACCGCCACCGUCGCCUUUUCUUCUUAGUCCCAGGCCGUGCGUUCCACUGCUCUGGGGCGGGCGCCGCGCCCAGUCCCUGCUUCGGCCGCGCGCCCCACCGCUUCCCUCCCCGGCAGGGGAAGCCGCGCAGCCGCUCCCGCCGCCACCUCCUCCCCCGCCGCCCUUCCUCGCUGCAGGAAUUGCGCGGACCAACAGCCGCUCGCGUCGCCCGCAUCCGCGCAGCCCGCUGCCGCUCGGCCCUCGGCACCGCUCUGGGUCCGGCCGCUGCCUGCCCCGCGCUCCCAGGCCCCACCACGCGUCGCCGCGCCCAGCUCCAGCCUCCCCUCCCCCGGGUCUCGCCAGCCCCUUCCUGCAGCCGCCGCCGCCUCCGAAGGAGCGGGUCCGCUGCAGGUCACCAUGCCCAGCAAAACCAAGUACAACCUUGUGGACGAUGGGCACGAUCUGCGGAUCCCCUUGCACAACGAGGACGCCUUCCAGCACGGCAUCUGCUUUGAGGCCAAGUACGUAGGAAGCCUGGACGUGCCAAGGCCCAACAGCAGGGUGGAGAUCGUGGCUGCCAUGCGCCGGAUCCGGGUGAGUGGCCAGAGGUGGGCUGUGUGGAGCGGGGAGUCAAGUACCUUAGCUGCUGGCCCUUCUAGGUAGGGCUGGAGGGACCAAAAUGGAUGGCUGCACCCCCUUGCAAACCCAAACUCCUCCUCUCUGUACCCUCCAGGAAGCUGUUCUGAAUUGAAUGUUUGAUCUUGAUGCAAGGCCAAUGUUAAAAUGGAUGUGAUGGCUGGAGUGGUACCAUCUUCUCUCUCUUGUGACCUGUAGCUCCUCAAACUGAGAUACAUGUUACCUUGAUGAUGUGUAGUGACUGGCCAGGGACUGAUGGCUCUUUUUUAUUCAAAGAUUUUAGGGAAAAGGUUUAGUAGUUAGCCGGUAAUUGACUCAAAACAUUCUUUAAAAAGGCAAUUUAUUGUGGUAUAGAAUAUAAGAUUUACUUGGAUUUUUAAGAGUAAAUAUGAGAUUUUAACAAAAUUUUAUUGGUUGGAUGCUUUAGGCUCCGGGAAUGUCAGUGCAUUUUCUUCUGCCAUUUUGUCUACUUGCGGAAAGUUCAGUAUACCUUCUCGUUGGUAUAUGUGGUUCAGUCUAUGAACUUGUUGCUUUCUGACUCUGUGGUACAUGGAGCUGAGACUGAACAAGAAUUAAAUUCUCUUCUGAUACCUGCAAAGGAAUUUCUCCAUGUUCUCUGCACUGGAACAGAAUAAAUUACCUUGUACUUGUGCAUUUCAAAGGUAGGUUUGGGAUUGGUGAAAUGGAUUUUAAUUGUUUAUUGUAAGAGAAAAUUGGCAUUAGAGAUGGCACGAUUGGUCAUCCCUGGAAGCAGUCUGGUUUGUUCUUUAGAAUCAUUGUUCUGUAGAAUAAUCUACUCACGGCCGGGCGCGGUGGCUCAAGCCUGUAAUCCCAGCACUUUGGGAGGCCGAGACGGGCGGAUCACGAAGUCAGGAGAUCGAGACCAUCCUGGCUAACACGGUGAAACCCCGUCUCUAUUAAAAAUACAAAAACUAGCCGGGCGAGGUGGCGGGCGCCUGUAGUCCCAGCUAUUCGGGAGGCUGAGGCAGGAGAAUGGCGUAAACCCGGGAGGCAGAGCUUGCAGUGAGCUGAGAUCUGGCCACUGCACUCCAGACCGGGCGACAGAGCGA